This 253-nucleotide long non-coding RNA is filed under the name Mytilus galloprovincialis (Mediterranean mussel). The record is from RNAcentral. Lineage: Eukaryota; Metazoa; Mollusca; Bivalvia; Mytilida; Mytilidae.
AAAAAAGAAAAUUUCUUCAAACAUUUUUUUGAGAGGAUUAAUAUUCAGCAGCAUAGUGAAUUGCUCUAAGAGAAAACAAAAAUUUUAAGUUCAUUAGAACACAUUCAUUCUGUGUCAGAAACCUAUGCUGUGUCAACUAUUUAAUCACAAUCCAAAUUUAGAGCUGAAUCCAGCUUGAAUGUUGUGUCCAUACUUGCCCCAACCGUUCAGGGUUCAACCUCUGCGGUCGUAUAAAGCUACGCCCUGCGGAGCA